AUUGAACGCUGGCGGCAGGCCUAACACAUGCAAGUCGAGCGGUAGCACAGAAGAGCUUGCUCUUUGGGUGACGAGCGGCGGACGGGUGAGUAAUGUCUGGGAAACUGCCCGAUGGAGGGGGAUAACUACUGGAAACGGUAGCUAAUACCGCAUAACCUCGCAAGAGCAAAGAGGGGGACCUUUGGGCCUCUCGCCAUCAGAUGUGCCCAGAUGGGAUUAGCUAGUAGGUGAGGUAAUGGCUCACCUAGGCGACGAUCCCUAGCUGGUCUGAGGGGAUGACCAGCCAAGCUGGAACUGAGACACGGUCCAGACUCCUACGGGGGGCAGCAGUGGGGAAUAUUGCACAAUGGGCGCAAGCCUGAUGCAGCCAUGCCGCGUGUGUGAAGAAGGCCUUCGGGUUGUAAAGCACUUUCAGCGGGGAGGAAGGCGGUAAGGUUAAUAACCUUAUCGAUUGACGUUACCCGCAGAAGAAGCACCGGCUAACUCCGUGCCAGCCGCCGCAGUAA
Molecule: ribosomal RNA, 506 nt
Filed under: uncultured bacterium
Lineage: Bacteria
Description: partial 16S ribosomal RNA
Rfam family: Bacterial small subunit ribosomal RNA
Source: RNAcentral